GACGAACGCUGGCGGCGCGCCUAACACAUGCAAGUCGAACGGAGUCAAGAGGAGCUUGCUUUUCUUGACUUAGUGGCGAACGGGUGAGUAACGCGUGAGUAACCUGCCCUGGAGUGGGGGACAACAGUUGGAAACGACUGCUAAUACCGCAUAAGCCCACGGAUCUGCAUGGAUCUGCGGGAAAAGGAUUUAUUCGCUCUAGGAUGGACUCGCGUCCAAUUAGCUAGUUGGUGAGGUAACGGCCCACCAAGGCGACGAUUGGUAGCCGGACUGAGAGGUUGAGCGGCCACAUUGGGACUGAGACACGGCCCAGACUCCUACGGGAGGCAGCAGUGGGGGAUAUUGCACAAUGGGGGAAACCCUGAUGCAGCGACGCCGCGUGGAGGAAGAAGGUUUUCGGAUUGUAAACUCCUGUCGUUAGGGACGAUAAUGACGGUACCUAACAAGAAAGCACCGGCUAACUACGUG
This 468-nucleotide ribosomal RNA is filed under the name uncultured bacterium. RNAcentral's name for it is "partial 16S ribosomal RNA". It matches the Rfam family "Bacterial small subunit ribosomal RNA", at positions 28 to 507 of the family's 1533-position model. The record is from RNAcentral.